RNAcentral lists this ribosomal RNA (281 nucleotides) under uncultured prokaryote. RNAcentral describes it as "partial 16S ribosomal RNA". It matches the Rfam family "Bacterial small subunit ribosomal RNA", at positions 524 to 803 of the family's 1533-position model. The record is from RNAcentral.
UACGUAGGGGGCUAGCGUUAUCCGGAAUUACUGGGCGUAAAGGGUGCGUAGGUGGUUUCUUAAGUCAGAGGUGAAAGGCUACGGCUCAACCGUAGUAAGCCUUUGAAACUGGGAAACUUGAGUGCAGGAGGGGAGAGUGGAAUUCCUAGUGUAGCGGUGAAAUGCGUAGAUAUUAGGAGGAACACCAGUUGCGAAGGCGGCUCUCUGGACUGUAACUGACACUGAGGCACGAAAGCGUGGGGAGCAAACAGGAUUAGAUAUCCCGGUAGUCCCUGAGCGGG